CACGUGGGCUCCAGCUCACCUGCCCGGAGCUGGGGUGCGUGCCGCGGGCACAGGAGGGCUCGGGGCUUGCCAGAGCUGCAGAAGAGUCCCUACGGAAAGGCGAGAUGGAGACUGGGGCGCAGAUCCGGGCGGCCUGGGCGGGACCCUGAGCCCCCGGCCUGCACCUCCUGAAGGACAACGGGGAGCCCUUGGUUUCUUCUCUCCUUGGUACAAGGGAUCCCUCGGCGGGUUCAAAGGGGAAGAGCAUGGCCAGGGUACAGUAUCCCGCCGGCCCCACCCUAAGUAAUGCUAGGUUUAGCUCCUUCCCAGAUGCCUUUAGAUUCGUAUUUCUCUCCGUUUGCCCAGAAAUACCUAAAGCAGAGAUCACUCCUCACCAACAGUUUGGAAGAUCAUUUGUAUAAAAACUUUUAAGGAUUGCUGCAUGUUUAUCCAUUAGGGUGUUGGUAUUUGCCUAGAUUUUAGGAUGAUUAGCCCCUUGUUUAUCUUUUAUAGGAAUUGUGGUUUGUCCUUUUAUCCCCUUAGACUAUUAUUAUUGUUUUGCUUGCAGAAGUUUAAAAAAAAAUUGUAUUCAGUUUAACCUAUCUUUUACAGCAUCUGUGUUGUGGGUUAUUUGAAAGCCUUACUUCUGAUGAGUUUGCAGAGAAAUCUAUCAGUAUUUCUUUCCAAUACUUUAAUAGCUUUGUUUUUUUACAUAGAAAUCUUUUAUUUUUUAUGUUUUUGGAAUUUAUCUUGGUGAAUGAUUUGAUAUUAAACUCCAGUUUUGUUCUAGAUUUUUAAAAAUUAUUCCAUUGUUUCCUCAUAACAUGAAUUUUUGAAGAGUGUAAUACUCAAUCCGUUGUAGUUUAUUUUAGUGUAGGGUGUUCCGAGGGGCAUGGCUUUACUUUGUUUUUUUCCUAAAAGGCCAACGAGUCAGAACAACAGCAUGCAAUGAGAGACAGACUUCUUUUAUGGUCAUUUGAAAUCCUGUGUCUUCCUAGUGAUACUCCUUCUACCUCAGCUGUUCUGAGUAUUUGUAAGGCAAAUCUAAAUGGUUUCCUCUAUCUCUGGACUGAGUGCCUCUGAGGACGAAGGCCCCCUUUCAGAGACGAGUCCACUGCCCUUGAGAAGGGUCCUGCAGCACAGCACCCUGGAGGAAGCCGCGCUUAGUGAGCACAGGCAGUCUCUGGGCUGUGUCCCCUCCCCAUUGCCUGCAUGCGCUUCCUGGGACCUCCCAUCCCAGCAGCCAGGGCUCAGCCCCAAAGCUGCCCGCCAAGAGGGGCAGCCUUCUAAUAUCUGGGCCUCUGGGGCAUCCAGUGGGUUGGUAGGGCCGGACCGGGACCCCUGGGCUCCUGAGGAGGACAUGCCCACACCAGCCUCGGGCGCCUGGCCGCAGCAACAGGGAAAGUCCGCCCGGGCAGGAAGGUGGCCACGAAACCUGGGACUGCCUGGGAUCCCCAGUGUGGCUGGCAGGAGGAGACGGGACCUGAAGAAGCUGGCGGCUGCGCCUUUGAAGCCCCUUCUGCUGAAGUGCCUGGACUCCUUGGAAGCCGGGUGUGGGAGCACUGGACUGCUGCUUCCACCUUUUGUUAUUUAGCCCCUCCAGGCCCUAUUGAAGGGGCAUGGGUCCAGCUUCCAGGCUACAGCAGAUGGUGCAGCUCUCCAGAAGUCCCUUUCCCUCCAAGCGUUCCUGUUGGCCUUGCAGCCCCCUCUGCAUGGCUUCGCUCUCCUGUCUGGUGGGGGUGUCAGUCAUUCAGAGCUUCUCUUGAUGCUGGCCCACACACACCUCUGUACUGUGCCUGAGCUAGUGAGGAGCAGCCUUGUACAACUGACCAGAAGUCCUGUGUGUGGACCUGACCACCAGGACUGCCUCUCUUUUGCAGUGCAUCUGUGUCCUAUCCCUAAUGUCCUCCCUGUGGGCUGAUGCUCCGCCCUGCCGCCAGGAGGGAUAGAAUGAGCCUGGCUGGAAUAUUCCAGAGCUGAAGAAGAGAAGGGGCCUGUGGGUGUCACUGUGGGAUGGUGAUUGUCACAAAACCUCACCUCCCCCAGCUCAUCCUGGGUCUCCAGAGACAGCACAGCCCCUGGGCCCAGGCGGCCCUUCUGUGUAGGCUGCAGGUGCUCUGUUGGGGCAGCCAACUCCCAGCUGUGUGCAUUGCUUCAGGGGCAGUUCCUUUGCUUCCAGGGGCUUGCUGCCUGGUCGCGGGCUCCCACUCCAGCCAUUGUCCAUGCCCCCACUGGCACUCCUCAACACCAGCAUUUCCUGUACCUCAUUUUGCCCUUCUGGGUUUGCUUCUAUUUUUUCACUUUCAGGGUCAGGACCCUGAUGCGUGGUAACCUGACAUCAGUGGCAGCAGACACCAUCCUUUCUUCUACCCAACAUUGUACUUUGUGAUCCAGCACCAACACACACCCUGUGCCAUCGUGCUCAGCCACCUGUACCCCAGGCUCCAGUUUCUAUGAGCCUGAGCCUGUCUUGUUCAGAAGCAGGUUUCCUCCUGCUCCUUUCCUAGUUCUGGCCUGAGGCCGCUUCCUCCUCUCCUUUCCUAGUUCUGGCCUGAGGCCGCUUCCUCCUCGCUGCAGCUCCUGAAGAGGGGGCUCCUCAGGCCUGUGGGAAAUUGUCUAGACUGCCCCACACAGACGCUCUGCCCUCAGAUGCUGCCCAGGCUGGCCCCCUUGUCCCUGUCCCAUCCCCACUGGCCCCUUCAUGCUCUUGCCAGACCAGGUCCCCUGGUCCUUACCUUAUCUUCCUGCCCCACCUGGAGACUCGGCCCUCUGGGUGGUGGCUGGCACCUGCAGGCUGGCCAGGUUAGCUCUGAGCUGAGAAGCCCAGAUGGUGCCCAAGAGCUGACCGUGUGGGUUCUGCAGCCCAGCAUGGAUAUCUGCUUUCCCUACAUAGCCUCUCCUGCUGAGCAAACCAUCUGAGACACCUUUCCUCUGACAGAUGGAGCGAGUGAGGCAGUGGGAAGCCUGGCUGCUGCAGAGCAUCGAGGAGGCCACCCAACAUGAGCUCACCAUCCAGGACUGCUAGAACAGAAUAAGGCACCCCUAAAGCAGGGCACCCUGAAACAGAAUCCCAGGCUGGAUUGGAACAAUAGGACAGGUAGACUCUAAGGUCAGGCAAGGUCAGGUGUUCUGUUUUGACUGAACCAGUGAGAGUUUUGCUGUCUAGCCGUGGGGCAGUCAGAAAGCAUUAAAGAGUGAGAACGUGGUUUUCCUGCACUUGUGUGGGGUUUCCAGUAAAGCAGGAGGGAUGAAAUUUCCCAGGAGAGCGGACAUGGCCGGGCUACAAGUCCUGGGGUGGUUGCACCCACUCCCCUCUGCUGACGCUCCUGGCUGGUGGAUGGACACACUUGUGAGUUCAACAGCUGGUUCCUCCAUUAUAAGCUGACAGAUCAACUUGUUCACUUUUUCUUUUGUUACAACAAUUUAUCAGCCUAUAAAAACUAACGCUUAUGAAGUCUUCAAAUGAAAUUAUAAAGCAUGAAAAUUGCCUACAAUUGCACAUGGAGAUAAAUCAGUGUAGUUCCUUCUCAUUCUUACUGCUAAAAAUAAACAGUUUUCAUGAGAGCUAUUUCUAAAAUCUGGCUGAUGCAGAGUAAUUCAGAUAUGUAAUCAGGUUACCUCUCUCUGUCUUGUUUCCAUCCUUUGAAAAAUUCACCUUCAGAAUGAAACCAGGGAGAAGGAAGAAUAAUGUAAGGACUCUGGGGAAACUUGCUGGAAGCUGGGGAAUUACAGGCAUGCAGGAGGCAGUUUUAUGAGAAAGAUAAUUUCCUAGAUAUUUAUGUUGCCUUUCUCCUGUGUGUGUUAAUUAAAGGGGUUCCUGUGUUUGCACAGAGGAAUUUAUGCAGGUCUCCAUAGGCCCUCCAGUUACAUGUUUGAAAUGCACUUAUCUCAGAAAUGUCAAAAAACAGCAUAGACUGAGAAUGUUCUGUCCAUGGGAAGACGCUGGUAGGACAUGAAAGAGGGAACAAUUCCCAUGCCAGUGUCUCCACAGCCCGAACCUGCACACAAGGACGGGAGUCCCACUAGCUUGCCGCCACCGUCUGAGCCCGCAGGAGUGUGGCUGGCCCUAAGGGGCAUUCUCAGACUGUGACAGUCAGACAACAGUGCUGGCAGCUCAGGGUGGGCAGUCGGUGAGAAACUGCAGGAUUUCUAGAUGAACAUUGUCUUAGGGGAAAUGACAGACCAUAAACAGUAACCCUUGGGGGGAAUGAAGCCAUCCAUGCUCAUUCAGAGAUGGGGUCAGGGGUGACUUGUAUCACCAUUUUGAAUGAAAAGCAUCUCCUUAACUCUCGUUGUGUAUGCAAACCACAUAAUUUGCAAAAAACACAGUUUAGAACAUGGGGAAAGGAAAUGCAUACUCUUCCUGAUACAGUUUCUCUUAAGUUGAAAUGAGUUUUCCUCUCCACUCUACUUAAUGUUUUACCCUAGGGUAAUGAUCACGUUUACACACAGUGUCUGUCCUCAGAGCCUAAGCACUCCCCUUUGUCACUAAGUGUGGCUCUGAGACUGGACCAGACGGACCUGCCCAAGUUCUACUGCAGGAUGCCCUGUGCUCUGUGUUGAGAUUUCCACACUGCCAGACAUUUGGUCUCUGUAUUAGUUUCUGUUAGCUGAGUGUCUUGGUUUCUACUGUGUUUAAUUUCUGACUGCUGCAUAAUAAGCGACCACAAGCUGAGAGGCUCAAAACAAAAUCCAUUUAUUAUCUCAGUUCUGGCAGCUCUGCCAGGCCUCUGCCUGGGACCCUCCAGGUGAGGUCAAGGUGGGUUCUCACCUGCAGAAUCAUAGCAGAAAUGGAAUCCAGUUCCUUGCGGUUGUAGAUCUCAGGGCCCUGUUUCUUUCUGGCUGCCAGCUGGGGGCUGUUCUCAGAUCCCAAAGGCCUCCUGUGUUUACGUGUCCUCCACAAUUUUCAACCUCUGGGGUACAACAGAAGCUGUUUGGGCUCCACAUCCACCAGCCCGCCUCUUCUGCCACCAGUGGGAGGAAUUACUCUGUUUUUAAGGGCUGGUGUGAGACCUGGUGUGCCAGGUAAUGUGACCAAGUGCGCAUUCAGGGAUCUCAUCCCACUCACCGGUUUGGAGGUGAGGGGCAUGAAAUCCUGGGGCAGCUUUAAAAUUCAGCCCACUGCACUUUGUUCCCAGUUUUUCAUCAUUAUAAAUAAUACUGUGAUAACCUGGCACAAAGCAUUCUAGAAGUUAGUUCAUGGAGUUAAAGUAUAUUAGCAUUUUAUGAUCUCUGCUGGGUACUACCAAGGGAGGGCAGAGCCCCAUGAGCAGCAUCCAAGCUUUGCUGGUGGUAUGACAUCUGUACAAACACUGACCAAAUGGACAGGGGAAGCAGUGUGUCAUUGUUCUGAAUUUGCAUUUCUUUCAUGGACAAUUCUGUUGAACAUGUGUCUGUGUUCUUUAUUUAGUUGUAUUUAUUUCUCUGAGGAUUCUGUAAAUACUUUUUCUCUUGGGAUAGUGUGUUUUCCAUAAUGACUUUUUAAUCCCCUUAUUAGGAUUGAUUUUACUUGAAAUUAAACUCACAAUCAGAGAAAACUAUACAUGAUGUAAUUUUAUGUGUCGGCUAGCUUGGCUGGCCACCAUGUCCAGAUAGUUGGUCAAACCCCAGUUUAGAUGUCACUGUGCAGGUAUUUUCUAGAUGAGAUUAAUAUUUAAAUCAGUAAACUUGAGGAAAGCAGAUCACCCUCCACAGCAUGGGUGGGCCUCGUCCAGUUAGUUGAAGGACUUAAGGAAAAAGACUGAGGUUCCCCAGGUGGAAGGGAAUUCAGCCUCCAGAUGCCUUUUGUCUCAAGGUACAGCAUCCACUCUUCCCUGGGUCUCCAGCCUGCUGCCUGCCUUGCAGAUUUUGGACUUGCCUGACUCCACAACUAAGCACUCAAAAAUGGUCCCCAGAUGGCAUUCUUGGCAUGUGGGUGAGCCUGACCCAUCAGGACACAGCACGGGAGACCAAGGCAUGUGGGACCCAGGAUGCAGAUGAGUCACAUCCUGAGAAAAUUUCUUCCUAUGGAGUUUCCUGCAGAGGAUCGGGAAUCCUCAUGGGCCCCUCUGCUUGGCAGCAUGCUGCACACCUGGGGGGAGACCAUUGUCUUCAUUAUUCUCAGGGACA
This is a non-coding RNA of Manis javanica (Malayan pangolin), 6087 nucleotides long. NCBI's taxonomy places the organism in Eukaryota, Metazoa, Chordata, Mammalia, Pholidota, Manidae. The record is from RefSeq and is a predicted model, not a curated record.